AUACCUUUACAAAUGCUGCUCUCCUGCCGGGAAUGCCUGUUCUCAUCCUCUUACCCUGGCAAGACAUUCAGUUAGUUCUUUACAACCCAGUUCUGAUGUCACUUCCUUUUAGUCAUUCAUCCGUCCCUCUGGGCUGGGUUAAUUCACUUCCUUCUCCAGGGCUUCGCUGAACUCUGCACAGACCUCAAUUACAACCCUUAUAAAGCUGGGUUGUGGUCGGGUGCGGUGGCUCAUGCCUGUAAUCCCAGCACUUGGGAGACUGAGGCAUGUGAGUCGCCUGAACCCGGGAGGCAGAGGUUGAAGUGAGCCGAGAUCGUGCCACUGCACUCCAGCCUGGGCGACAGAGCGAGACUCCGUCUCAAAAGUAAGUAACAAGAGGAUUCAGAAUCUGAGAGAUACUGCUUAAAAGGAAAAUGUCCUGGAGGGAUGCCAAACUGCACUCUCAAAGGUUUCGGCUGGAUGUGUGAUAUUGAUGGGGAAACCCAUUUCAGUGUCUCUAAGAAGGGGGUAGUGCUCCUCUUUCCAGGAUGUCUCUGGGGAAUCUAGAGCACCCCAAAGUGUGGUAUGCAUAGAAACAUUGCUGCUUAAGGUCUGAAUAUUUGUUCCUCAUCAAUUCAUGUGUUGAAAUUCUAACCUCUCCUGAAUGGGAUUAGUGCUCUUACACGAGAGGCCUGACAGAGACUCCUCACCCUUCCCACCAUGCGAAGACACAGUGAGAAGGCUCAGUCUAUGAACCAAAAUGUUGACUGUCACCAUUUACUCAAUCUGCUGUCGCCUUGAGCUUGGACUUCCCAGCCUCCAGAACUGUGAGAAAUAAAUUUCUGUUGCUUAUAAGACAACCAGUUUAUGACAUUUCGUUAUAGCAGCCUGAAUGGACUAAGACACCCUUCCCACCAUGUGAAGACAGAGUGAGAAGGUUCGGUCUAUGAACCAAAAACUGACCCUCACCAGUCAUUGAAUCUGCUGGUGCCUUGAUCUUGGACUUCCCAGCCUCCAGAACUGUGAGAAAUAAAUUUCUGUCGUUUAUAAGCCACCUAGUUUAUGAUACUUUGUUAUAGCAGCCUGAAUGGACUGAGACACCCACCUUAAAAAGACAGUACCUCAAAACCAUAAGGCAGGAUAACUGCUAGCCUGAUAUUAAUAGUUUUUAAUUUACUGCUAGCUUCAUUUUGCCAACUGAGUCAGAUAUUUUUUAAAAGUUCUGUUUGCAAUUAUUUUAACUUAGGAGAGGAGAAAAAGAGCAGGCAUCAGCCUGCAUAUGGGAUAUUUCUGAAAGGAUUUUGCUAUGAUUAGCUUGCCCUCAGGGAGAGUAAAAUGUGAGUUAUACAACCAUGCUUAUAUUUAGAUGUUGUUGAUGUUCUGGCUUAUAAUAUAUGAUGAGUUAGAAAUAAUUUUGUACUGAUCAGCCCAACCAGAAAAUAAACAUGCUUUAACUUGUAUUUAUUACUAAACUUGGUCUCCUAAAACAUGAUAAAGCAGUUGAGUCUAUAAUGACUGAGCCAUAGCUUCUCUGACUGACUCUAAGAGGGAAUGACGUUAAUAAGAGAUUAGCCCAUACCUCUAAUAGCCCUGGGAGAGAUGAACCCAAGACGGCAAGGCCCAGCUCUGAUGGAUGAAGGGACAGAGAACUAUAAGAAGACUGGGUUCCAUCUAGGAUGGGUGGCCUGUUGAGUGCCCAUCUUAUCUGCUUAGAUGAUGAUACUUGGAGACCUGACUCAAUUGUUGUGAAUGGUCUUUGUAAAAUUUUAUUUUAGAGACAGGGUCUUGCUAUGUUGCCCAGGCUGGUCUCAAACACCUGGGCUCAAGUGAUCCUCCUGCCUCAGCCUCCUGAGUAGCUGGAACUGCAAGUGAUUACUCUUAUUGAACAAACAAACAAAAACAAGUGCCUGUGACCUAAUAGAGAUGCAUGCAUAUGUUCACCAAAAGAUCUAGAAUGUCCACAACAGCCCUAUUUAUCAUCACCCCAAAUGGGGCACCCUGCACCUACCUCAACAGUAGAUGCAUACAUUUCUGUGUAUUUACACUGUGGAAUAUGACACAGCAAUGACAAUGAAUGAACUACAGCUAUACACAACAACAUGGAUGGCUAUCACAAACAUAAGGUAGAGCUAAAAGCGAAAAAAACCAGCAUAAAAGUGGGCAAAAGCCAUCUAUGUUGUUAAAAAUCAGGAUAGUGGCUGCCCUGGAAGGGGGCAUGAGGAGGCUUCAAGGUGCUUGUCAUGUUCUCUUUCUUCACU
RNAcentral lists this long non-coding RNA (2237 nucleotides) under Homo sapiens (human). RNAcentral describes it as "HSALNT0050983". The record is from RNAcentral. Lineage: Eukaryota; Metazoa; Chordata; Mammalia; Primates; Hominidae.